Molecule: ribosomal RNA, 484 nt
Filed under: uncultured bacterium
Lineage: Bacteria
Description: partial 16S ribosomal RNA
Rfam family: Bacterial small subunit ribosomal RNA
Source: RNAcentral
AUUGAACGCUGGCGGCAGGCCUAACACAUGCAAGUCGAGCGGAUGAAGGGAGCUUGCUCCUGGAUUCAGCGGCGGACGGGUGAGUAAUGCCUAGGAAUCUGCCUGGUAGUGGGGGAUAACGUCCGGAAACGGGCGCUAACACCGCAUACGUCCUGAGGGAGAAAGUGGGGGAUCUUCGGACCUCACGCUAUCAGAUGAGCCUAGGUCGGAUUAGCUAGUUGGUGGGGUAAAGGCCUACCAAGGCGACGAUCCGUAACUGGUCUGAGAGGAUGAUCAGUCACACUGGAACUGAGACACGGUCCAGACUCCUACGGGAGGCAGCAGUGGGGAAUAUUGGACAAAGGGCGAAAGCCUGAUCCAGCCAUGCCGCGUGUGUGAAGAAGGUCUUCGGAUUGUAAAGCACUUUAAGUUGGGAGGAAGGGCAGUAAGUUAAUACCUUGCUGUUUUGACGUUACCAACAGAAUAAGCACCGGCUAACUUCGUG